GGGGGGAAUCUUGCGCAAUGGGCGAAAGCCUGACGCAGCCAUGCCGCGUGAAUGAUGAAGGUCUUAGGAUUGUAAAAUUCUUUCACCGGGGACGAUAAUGACGGUACCCGGAGAAGAAGCCCCGGCUAACUUCGUGCCAGCAGCCGCGGUAAUACGAAGGGGGCUAGCGUUGCUCGGAAUUACUGGGCGUAAAGGGCGCGUAGGCGGACAGUUUAGUCAGAGGUGAAAGCCCAGGGCUCAACCUUGGAAUUGCCUUUGAUACUGGCUGUCUUGAGUACGGGAGAGGUGAGUGGAACUCCGAGUGUAGAGGUGAAAUUCGUAGAUAUUCGGAAGAACACCAGUGGCGAAGGCGACUCACUGGCCCGUUACUGACGCUGAGGCGCGAAAGCGUGGGGAGCAAACAGGAUUAGAAACCCUUGUAGUCC
This 425-nucleotide ribosomal RNA is filed under the name uncultured bacterium. Its description in RNAcentral is "partial 16S ribosomal RNA". It matches the Rfam family "Bacterial small subunit ribosomal RNA", at positions 354 to 796 of the family's 1533-position model. The record is from RNAcentral.